Molecule: ribosomal RNA, 253 nt
Filed under: uncultured bacterium
Lineage: Bacteria
Description: partial 16S ribosomal RNA
Rfam family: Bacterial small subunit ribosomal RNA
Source: RNAcentral
UACGUAGGGUGCGAGCGUUGUCCGGAAUUACUGGGCGUAAAGAGCUCGUAGGUGGUUUGUCGCGUUGUUCAUGAAAACUCACAGCUCAACUGUGGGCGUGCGGGCGGUACGGGCAGACUGGAGUACUGCAGGGGAGACUGGAAUUCCUGGUGUAGCGGUGGAAUGCGCAGAUAUCAGGAGGAACACCGGUGGCGAAGGCGGGUCUCUGGGCCUUACCUGACGCUGAGACGCGAAAGCGUGGGGAGCGAACCGG